GACGAACGCUGGCGGCGUGCUUAACACAUGCAAGUCGAACGGUAAGGCCCCUCGGGGUACACGAGUGGCGAACGGGUGAGUAACACGUGGGUGAUCUGCCCUGCACUUCGGGAUAAGCCUGGGAAACUGGGUCUAAUACCGGAUAGGACUCCUGGCUUCAUGGUUGGGGGUGGAAAGCUUUUGCGGUGUGGGAUGGGCCCGCGGCCUAUCAGCUUGUUGGUGGGGUAAUGGCCUACCAAGGCGACGACGGGUAGCCGGCCUGAGAGGGUGACCGGUCACACUGGGACUGGGAUACGGCCCAGACGCCUACGGGAGGCAGCAGUGGGGAAUAUUGCACAAUGGGCGCAAGCCUGAUGCAGCGACGCCGCGUGAGGGAUGACGGCCUUCGGGUUGUAAACCUCUUUCAGCACCGACGAAGCGCAAGUGACGGUAGGUGCAGAAGAAGGACCGGCCAACUACGUGCCAGCAGCCGCCGUAA
RNAcentral lists this ribosomal RNA (478 nucleotides) under uncultured bacterium. RNAcentral describes it as "partial 16S ribosomal RNA". It matches the Rfam family "Bacterial small subunit ribosomal RNA", at positions 28 to 523 of the family's 1533-position model. The record is from RNAcentral.